This 460-nucleotide ribosomal RNA is filed under the name uncultured bacterium. RNAcentral describes it as "partial 16S ribosomal RNA". It matches the Rfam family "Bacterial small subunit ribosomal RNA", at positions 338 to 795 of the family's 1533-position model. The record is from RNAcentral.
CCUACGGGGGGCAGCAGUGAGGAAUAUUGGUCAAUGGACGCAAGUCUGAACCAGCCAUGCCGCGUGCAGGAAGACGGCUCUAUGAGUUGUAAACUGCUUUUGUACGAGGGUAAACGCAGAUACGCGUAUCUGUCUGAAAGUAUCGUACGAAUAAGGAUCGGCUAACUCCGUGCCAGCAGCCGCGGUAAUACGGAGAAUUCAAGCGUUAUCCGGAUUUAUUGGGUUUAAAGGGUGCGUAGGCGGUCGGAUAAGUUAGAUGUGAAAUCCCGAGGCUCAACUUCGGAAUUGCCUCUGAUACUGUUAGGCUAGAGAGUAGUUGCGGUAGGCGGAAUGUAUGGUGUAGCGGUGAAAUGCUUAGAGAUCAUACAGAACACCGAUUGCGAAGGCAGCUUACCAAGCUACGUCUGACGUUGAGGCACGAAAGCGUGGGGAGCAAACAGGAUUAGAUACCCGGGUAGUC